This 405-nucleotide ribosomal RNA is filed under the name uncultured bacterium. RNAcentral describes it as "bacterial SSU rRNA". It matches the Rfam family "Bacterial small subunit ribosomal RNA", at positions 356 to 773 of the family's 1533-position model. The record is from RNAcentral.
GGGGAAUAUUGCACAAUGGGCGCAAGCCUGAUGCAGCGACGCCGCGUGAGGGAUGACGGCCUUCGGGUUGUAAACCUCUUUCAGUACAGACGAAGCGCAAGUGACGGUAUGUACAGAAGAAGCACCGGCCAACUACGUGCCAGCAGCCGCGGUAAUACGUAGGGUGCGAGCGUUGUCCGGAAUUACUGGGCGUAAAGAGCUCGUAGGUGGUUUGUCGCGUUGUUCGUGAAAACCUGAGGCUUAACCUCGGGCGUGCGGGCGAUACGGGCAGACUUGAGUACUGCAGGGGAGACUGGAAUUCCUGGUGUAGCGGUGGAAUGCGCAGAUAUCAGGAGGAACACCGGUGGCGAAGGCGGGUCUCUGGGCAGUAACUGACGCUGAGGAGCGAAAGCGUGGGGAGCGAAC